Homo sapiens (human) is the source of this 1729-nucleotide long non-coding RNA. RefSeq lists it as uncharacterized. Lineage: Eukaryota; Metazoa; Chordata; Mammalia; Primates; Hominidae. The transcript is spliced from 2 exons. The record is from RefSeq and is a predicted model, not a curated record.
UCCCAAAGUCCUGGGAUUACAGGCAUGAGCCACCGUACCCAGCCACUCUUGAUUAACUUGAUGGAAAUAUUUACAGAGAUUCUUUCUCUUCUGGGUUCUAGCAUCUUAUCUGUAACAUCUGCAGGGGAGUCACUGAGCAGAAGGAAGCGAGUUGCCUGAGAUUCUUCAAAGCCUGCAGCCCUUUUGGAGGUUACAUUUUUAUUCUCAGAGCCUUUACGAUGCAUAAUAAAGACCUAGCUUGGACCAAUAAUUGGAUGAGUUAUCUUGCUAUUAACAUUCUUUUAGGAAGAAGUUGCUGGUCCCAUCUUGCUCACAAUCCUCCAAAGUUUGAAAGUUAUUUUCCAGGAGACUUAGCUUGCACUGAGAGCUGCCCUCCCACCCUCUCUCCAAAUUUCCUCUUGGGAGUAGCCUAACAAGGUGCUGUCACAGACCCUUGCCAGCCACGAUGACCCCACCCAGACCAUCCCUCUGCUGUUUCACUCUUUGAUACUCUCUGGAGCUCUCUGGGGAGGGGUGAGACCUGCCGUCUGGUUUGUAUGGUUUGCCCAGGUCUGGCAGUCAUGGCUGGCUGCCUCUCUCUGAGAACUGAGACUCCUGAACUUGGUGAAAUACCUCAGUCAUCGAUCGUGUUGAAUUAUCGGGGACAGUCAUUUAAAAUCCGAGCCUGUUCCAGAUGGACUCUCUCUGUUUCUGCCCUGAACGUGAGAGAAGCCCUGCUGGACGGUGGAGAUGCUCGUGGGUUGUGAGCAAGGGAUGGAAAGGCUGCCGGGAAUCCCAUCUUUCCAGCAUCAUCUGCCAAGGCACAUCAGUUCCUGGGUAUCUUGAUGGGUUCUGGCAGCAUUACUGUCAUUGAAGGAAAAAUUUUAGCCAUAUUAAAGGUGAAUGCAGCAAUCCCCACACAGGCUGCCUGGAAGGGAGGCGGGACAAGGGUAGGUUUUCCCUGUGACGGACAGGAGGCAGGCGGCCCUCCCACAGCCCUGGUGGCAAUGCAGAUGUGUCCCCAAAGGUACUGGGGGCCAGCUGGAGUGCUGUGCCGAGGCGGGCUCACCCGGGCCGUGGGUUCGCUCUGAUUGCAGCGGUUUCCCACCAGCUCUUUGGAGAGCUGGCAGAUGGCCCAGCCCCACCGCAGGAGCCACGAAUGGCAGAACAAGAUACAACAAUUUGAUAUCCACUUGCCAGACGAGCCGGGUGUCGUCAGUCGCCUGGCUCUGUGCCCAACCUCUUUUUGCAUAAACACUUAUGAGUUCAGCCAGGAGGAAAAGCACUCUGAUUAUGAAUUGAGCAGAAGGAAACAAAGUUUUGCAGAUAAACACCAAUGAGACAAAAAACCACGAAUAAGAAAAAUGACAGAAAAGGAGAACCUUCCCAGAAGCCUCCUGCCAGUGAACGGCCACCAGAGCAAGAGCAUGGAGGCCCUGGGUUUUGAACUGUGAGAUAAGGAAGAUGAUGAAAACCUCCCUAGCAGCCAGACAAGCACAAGAUUCCUGUGAAAUCCAGGUCUAAGUGUUUUGACCACAGAAGUAAUAUUAUGUCAUAGGUGAGAGCUGUGAGUUGCUGAACCCAAAGUGAGUUCAAAUCCGGGUUCUGCCUCCUGCAACCUGUGUGACUUUGAGAAGUUCCAGCACCGCUUUCUGCCUCAGUUUUCUCAUCUGUUAAAUGGGCAUAAUCACAGCUCCCGCCUCAGAGUUGUUGUAAAUUAAUACAUGUAAAGCACUGAAAUCAGCCUGGU